Molecule: non-coding RNA, 297 nt
Organism: Canis lupus familiaris (dog)
Lineage: Eukaryota; Metazoa; Chordata; Mammalia; Carnivora; Canidae
Source: Rfam
GGAUGUGAGGCAAUCUGGCUGCAACAUCUGUCAUCCCGCUGCUCACCACGGUUGAUUCAGCUGAUCUUGCUGUGUCCCCUUCCUCUCUCACUGGUCCAUGGCCAUCCCUGCCAAAGCUGCACACUUGUUCAAAGAGAAUAACCUUCCCCAAUAAAGGGGGACCAUUCUGUGGUCAAGGGUAUACAAGUAGCUGUGCUCCCCUGCUAGAACCUCCAAACAGCUCUCAAGGUCCAUCAGGUAAAUGCAGAUUAAAACCACAACAUAAUAGAAAUAGAUAGGUAUUAACCAGGAUAGUCU